RNAcentral lists this unclassified non-coding RNA (291 nucleotides) under uncultured Cortinarius. RNAcentral describes it as "sequence contains ITS2". The stretch from base 1 to 52 matches the Rfam family "5.8S ribosomal RNA", at positions 103 to 154 of the family's 154-position model. Lineage: Eukaryota; Fungi; Basidiomycota; Agaricomycetes; Agaricales; Cortinariaceae. The record is from RNAcentral.
AACGCACCUUGCGCUCCUUGGUAUUCCGAGGAGCAUGCCUGUUUGAGUGUCAUUAAUAUAUCAACCUCUUCAGCUUUUGCUUGUUGAGUGUUGGAUGUGGGGGUCUUUUUGCUGGCCUUCUAAGGUCAGCUCCCCUGAAAUGCAUUAGCAGAACAAAUUGUGGAUCGUUCAUUGGUGUGAUAACUAUCUACGCUAUUGACGUGAAGCAGUUCAGCUUCUAACAGUCCAUUGACUUGGACAAAUUUUCAUUAAUGUGACCUCAAAUCAGGUAGGACUACCCGCUGAACUUAA